Molecule: unclassified non-coding RNA, 269 nt
Filed under: Sporothrix schenckii
Lineage: Eukaryota; Fungi; Ascomycota; Sordariomycetes; Ophiostomatales; Ophiostomataceae
Description: sequence contains 18S rRNA gene, ITS1, 5.8S rRNA gene, ITS2, 28S rRNA gene
Source: RNAcentral
GAACGCACAUUGCGCCCGCCAGCAUUCUGGCGGGCAUGCCUUGUCCGAGCGUCAUUUCCCCCCUCACGCGCCCCGUUGCGCGCUGGUGUUGGGGCGCCCUCCGCCUGGCGGGGGGCCCCCGAAAGCGAGUGGCGGGCCCUGUGGAWGGCUCCGAGCGCAGUACCGAACGCAUGUUCUCCCCUCGCUCCGGACGCCCCCCAGGCGCCCUGCCGUGAAAACGCGCAUGACGCGCAGCUCUUUUUACAAGGUUGACCUCGGAUCAGGUAGGA